This 253-nucleotide ribosomal RNA is filed under the name uncultured bacterium. Its description in RNAcentral is "partial 16S ribosomal RNA". It matches the Rfam family "Bacterial small subunit ribosomal RNA", at positions 524 to 776 of the family's 1533-position model. The record is from RNAcentral.
UACGUAUUGCGCAAGCGUUUUCCUUAAUUAUUGGGCGUAAAGAGCUCUUAUGCGGUUUUUCGCUUCUGCUGUGAAAACCUAAGGCUCAACCUUGGGCUUGCAGUGGGUACGGGCAGACUAGAGUGCGGUAGGGGUGACUGGAAUUCCUGGUGUAGCGGUGGAAUGCGCAGAUACCAGGAGGAACACCGAUGGAGAAGGCAGGUAAAUGGGCCGCAACUGACGCUGAGGAGAGAAAGCAUGGGGAGCGAACAGG